CAUUAUGCUUUGCCCUAAACAUUGAUAGUUCUUUACACCUACUAUCCGCCCGGGUACUACGAGCAACAGCUUAAAACCCAAAGGACUUGGCGGUGCUUUAGACCCACCUAGAGGAGCCUGUUCUAAAACCGAUAACCCCCGUUCAACCUCACCUUUUCUUGUUCUCCCCGCCUAUAUACCGCCGUCGUCAGCUUACCCUAUGAAGGCCCCCCAGUAAGCACAAUUGGUACAGCCCAAUACGUCAGGUCGAGGUGUAGCGUAUGGAAAGGGAAGAAAUGGGCUACAUUCACUGGCACAGUGAAUUACGAAAAAUACCACUGAAACGUGUAUCUAGAAGGAGGAUUUAGCAGUAAGCAGAAAAUAGAGCGUUCUGCUGAAACUGGCCCUGAAGCGCGCACACACCGCCCGUCACUCUCCCCAAGCAUAUCUCAUCACAUAACUCAAAACCCUUUAACAGCAAAGGGGAGGCAAGUCGUAA
This 478-nucleotide ribosomal RNA is filed under the name Cephalopholis boenak (chocolate hind). RNAcentral describes it as "partial small subunit ribosomal RNA". It matches the Rfam family "Bacterial small subunit ribosomal RNA", at positions 788 to 1491 of the family's 1533-position model. The record is from RNAcentral. Lineage: Eukaryota; Metazoa; Chordata; Actinopteri; Perciformes; Serranidae.